CCUACGGGUGGCAGCAGUGGGGAAUAUUGAACAAUGGGGGAAACCCUGAUGCAGCGACGCCGCGUGAGUGAAGAAGUAUUUCGGUAUGUAUAGCUCUGUUAGCAGGGAAGAAAAUGACGGUACCUGACCAAGAAGCCCCGGCCAACUACGUGCCAGCAGCCGCGGGAAUACGUAGGGGGAAAGCGUUAUCCGGAUUUACUGGGUGUAAAGGGAGCGUAGACGGCAGGGCAAGUCUGGAGUGAAAGGCGGGGGCUCAACCCCCGGAGUGCUCUGGAAACUGCCAGGCUGGAGUGCAGGAGAGGUAAGUGGAAUUCCUAGUGUAGCGGUGAAAUGCGUAGAUAUUAGGAGGAACACCAGUGGCGAAGGCGGCUUACUGGACUGUAACUGACGUUGAGGCUCGAAAGCGUGGGGAGCAAACAGGAUUAGAUACCCCUGUAGUC
This 440-nucleotide ribosomal RNA is filed under the name uncultured bacterium. Its description in RNAcentral is "partial 16S ribosomal RNA". It matches the Rfam family "Bacterial small subunit ribosomal RNA", at positions 338 to 795 of the family's 1533-position model. The record is from RNAcentral.